Molecule: unclassified non-coding RNA, 340 nt
Filed under: soil metagenome
Description: partial contains 5.8S ribosomal RNA, internal transcribed spacer 2, and large subunit ribosomal RNA
Rfam family: 5.8S ribosomal RNA (bases 1-120)
Source: RNAcentral
GAUGAAGAACGUAGCGAAAUGCGAUAAGUAAUGUGAAUUGCAGAGUUCAGUGAAUCAUCGAAUCUUUGAACGCACAUUGCGCCCGUCAGUAUUCUGACGGGCAUGCCUGUCCGAGCGUCAUUUCAACCCUCAAGCACUGCUUGGCGUUGGCGGAUUGCGUGCCCUCGCGGCGCUGCAACCGCCCAAAUACAGUGGCGGUCCCGCUGCGGCUCCCAUUGCGUAGUAACUCACCUCGCACUGGACCGGGCGGCGGCCUGCCGUAAAACCCCAACUCACGAAAUGUUGACCUCGGAUCAGGUAGGAAUACCCGCUGAACUUAAGCAUAUCAAUAAGCGGAGGA